This 441-nucleotide ribosomal RNA is filed under the name uncultured bacterium. Its description in RNAcentral is "partial 16S ribosomal RNA". It matches the Rfam family "Bacterial small subunit ribosomal RNA", at positions 338 to 795 of the family's 1533-position model. The record is from RNAcentral.
CCUACGGGAGGCAGCAGUGGGGAAUAUUGCACAAUGGGGGGAACCCUGAUGCAGCGACGCCGCGUGGGUGAAGGAGUAUUUCGGUAUGUAAAGCCCUAUCAGCAGGGAAGAACAAUGACGGUACCUAACUAAGAAUCACCUGCUAAAUACGUGCCAGCAGCCGCGGUAAUACGGAUGGUGCAAGCGUUAUCCGGAUUUACUGGGUGUAAAGGGAGCGCAGGCGGCGCGUUAAGCCGGGUGUGAAAGCCCGCGGCUCAACCGCGGGACUGCAUUGGGAACUGGAGCGCUGGAGUGCGGGAGGGGUAGGCGGAAUUCCUGGGGUAGCGGUGAAAUGCGUAGAUAUUAGGAGGAACACCAGUGGCGAAGGCGGCCGACUGGAGGGUGACUGACGCUGAGGCUCGAAAGCGUGGGGAGCAAACAGGAUUAGAUACCCCAGUAGUC